GAUGAAAGAACGUAGCGAAAUGCGAUAAGUAAUGUGAAUUGCAGAAUUCAGUGAAUCAUCGAAUCUUUGAACGCACAUUGCGCCCGCCAGUAUUCUGGCGGGCAUGCCUGUUCGAGCGUCAUUUCAACCAUCAAGCCCCCGGCUUGUGUUGGGGACCUGCGGCUGCCGCAGGCCCUGAAAAGCAGUGGCGGGCUCGCUGUCACACCGAGCGUAGUAGCAUACAUCUCGCUCUGGGCGUGCUGCGGGUUCCGGCCGUUAAACCACCUUCAUAACCCAAGGUUGACCUCGGAUCAGGUAGGAAGACCCGCUGAACUUAAGCAUAUCAAUAAGCGGAGGA
Molecule: unclassified non-coding RNA, 337 nt
Filed under: soil metagenome
Description: partial contains 5.8S ribosomal RNA, internal transcribed spacer 2, and large subunit ribosomal RNA
Rfam family: 5.8S ribosomal RNA (bases 6-121)
Source: RNAcentral